UUAAGCACUUUCAGAAUCCUCUUGGCAGGACCAUCUUGUGCUCUGGUUCCUGUUUCCUGGAUCCUAUUCUGGGCCAGGCCGCUGGCGACCGUGUUGGAGUGGAUGAACCUCACGAGUUGGGAAACGUCUGACCCCGGGUGAGCUGGGCUGCACGUCACCCGUGGCCCUGGGGGCUCCCGGCACCCCCAUCUCGGUGAGGAAUGCGACGGAGGUCACACCGAAGAGAAUGCACACAUGAUACCUGCAAGGGUUCGCUUCCCAUUCGAGGUGCUGCUUCAUUGCCUAGAAUGUGGGAUAGUUUGAGAGGGCUGAGGAAAUUCUGAUCGCCUUCGGAGCAACUGAGAAUAUUGACAGGAAGCUUGUGUUUACAAUCCUGCUCUGUGGUUUCUCUUGGGUUCAGCCCACGUUCGGAACAUAGGUGGCAGUGUUUAGGGAGGAGAGUGAAUGGCUGGAUGGAGAGGAUGCAAGUAUGCUCAGACGGUGAAGUAAACAGCUUUUACUCUGUGCCUUUGCGACAGCUUGUUUUUUUAUUGAAGUGUAGUUGAUUUACAAGAUUGUGUUAGUUUCAAGUGUACAGCAGAGUGACUCAGUUAUGCAUAUAUAUCAAUAUAUAUUUCUUUUCCAGAUUAUUUUCCACUAUAUCAAUAGGUUAUUACAAGGUAUUGAAGAUAGUUCCCUGUGCUGUACAGUAGGUCCUUGUUGGUUACCUAUUUUAUAUAUACUAGUGUGUAUAUGUUAAUCCCAAACUCCUAAUUUAUCCCUCCCCGCCUUUCCCCUUUGGUAACCGUAAGUUUGUUUUCUAUGUCUUUGAGUCUGUUUCUGUUUUAUAUAUAGAUUCAUUGGUACUAUUUUUUUAGAUUCCACAUAUAAGCGAUAUCAUAUGAUAUUUGUCUUUCUCUGUCUGACUUACUUUACUUAGUAUGAUCAUCUCUAGGUGCAUCCACGUUGCUGCAAAUGGCGUGAUUUCAUUCUUUUUUAUGGCUGAGUAAUAUUCCAUCGUAUGUAUGUACCACGUCCUCUCUAUCCAUUCAUCUGUCGAUGGGCACUGGGGUUGCUUCCGUGUCUUGCGUGCCUUUGUGGUAUUUAUCUCACUCAUCCGUUGACCUGUGCUGCUGGUCUUUGGCUACAUUCCUGAUAAACCAGAUGUGGGAACAGGGAGUUUUUUGGACUCUCGGGCACUUCCUAUAUAUUAUUCUCACUAAUUUUUGCAACAGACUUAAAAGCCGGUUGUUCUCACACACGUUGUGCCAGCAGGGAAACAGCCCCACUGCGGCCGAGCCUGGGACAUGGCUGCAGUCAGCUCUGGCCUCUGAGGCGGGGCGUCCCGACUCAGCCCCCCUCUCGGCGAUAGGCUCCCUGUGACAGCCCAGAUCAAUCGUGCCAGUCAUGUGUUAUUUAUACUUGGACACAUGCUGCACCCUGCAGUCAUCUGGGUGGCUUAGAUGCCGCGCACGCCGGUGGUAGUAACUAUAAAUAAGACGUAACUUGCCGACUAGGCAUGGGUCCUCUUUUAGGUAGAAGUUCUGGCUAAAUUAACCCCAGGAAGAAACCAAGUCAGAGCUUGAGUCAUCUCUGAAAUAAAUUUUAAAAAACCCAACCAAACACCCCCCCGCCCCCACGAUAGAGGCCACCUUCCGUCCAUCCAUGGCUGAGCACUCUCGGGGUUUGGUGUCAAAAUGGUGAAAAUGCUUAUUGCAAUCAAGUCUGUGUUAGAGACUCAUCUGUGAGUGUCCGUUUAUGUACCAGGGAAACUUUAGCCCUAAAGCAUUAAAAAUAAGUCUGCAAAUUUAUGUUCAGAGUACAGCUGAGUCUGGGGAGGGCGGGCAGGGUGGGAUGUCAGGCCCCUGCCCUCUUUUUCUCUGUCAUUACCUGCUUCCUCAGUUUCCUGGGCAUGAGAAACGCACUUUGUGAGUUGGGAAGGAUGCUUUUCACUUUUCGAUUUUUCCUCCUCGAAUUAAACUUUUUCCCUCCUAAGAGCAGGCUGAUGAUUUAUGAUGCAGGUAUCAGCGAGGGGCCAG
This is a long non-coding RNA of Balaenoptera acutorostrata (minke whale), 2018 nucleotides long. RefSeq lists it as uncharacterized. Lineage: Eukaryota; Metazoa; Chordata; Mammalia; Artiodactyla; Balaenopteridae. The transcript is spliced from 4 exons. The record is from RefSeq and is a predicted model, not a curated record.